Molecule: non-coding RNA, 71 nt
Organism: Angiostrongylus cantonensis (rat lungworm)
Lineage: Eukaryota; Metazoa; Nematoda; Chromadorea; Rhabditida; Metastrongylidae
Source: Rfam
GCAUUGUUGGUUCAGUGGUAGAAUGCUCGCUUGCGAAGCGGGCGGCCUGGGUUCGAUUAUCGGCGAAUGCA